RNAcentral lists this ribosomal RNA (468 nucleotides) under uncultured bacterium. RNAcentral's name for it is "partial 16S ribosomal RNA". It matches the Rfam family "Bacterial small subunit ribosomal RNA", at positions 28 to 507 of the family's 1533-position model. The record is from RNAcentral.
GACGAACGCUGGCGGCGUGCUUAACACAUGCAAGUCGAACGGAAAGGCCCUGCUUUUGUGGGGUGCUCGAGUUGCGAACGGGUGAGUAACACGUGAGUAACCUGCCCUUGACUUUGGGAUAACUUCAUGAAACUGGGUCUAAUACCGGAUAGGAGCUCCUGCUGCAUGGUGGGGGUUGGAAAGUUUCGGCGGUUGGUGGUGUACUCGCGGCUUAUCAGCUUGUUGGUGGGGUAGUGGCUUACCAAGGCUUUGACGGGUAGCCGGCCUGAGAGGGUGACCGGCCACAUUGGGACUGAGAUACGGCCCAGACCCCUACGGGAGGCAGCAGUGGGGAAUAUUGCAAAAUGGGCGGAAGCCUGAUGCAGCAACGCCGCGUGCGGGAUGACGGCAUUCGGGUUGUAAACCGAUUUCGCCUGUGCCGAAGCGUGAGUGACGGUAAUGGGUAAAGAAGCACCGGCUAACUCCGUG